GCUUACAGCCAUACAACCUGAAUACCGAAUACGCCUGAUCUCGAAAGCUAAGCAGGGUUGGGUCUGGUUAGUAUUUAGACGGGAGACAGAGCUCUGAAAAAAAAACUAGUAAACU
This 115-nucleotide ribosomal RNA is filed under the name Acanthochromis polyacanthus (spiny chromis). Lineage: Eukaryota; Metazoa; Chordata; Actinopteri; Pomacentridae. The record is from RNAcentral.